AAAAGUUGGUAGAUGGGCAAAGUGAAUAGUGUGUGCUUUUUUUUAAUUUCACUGGCAAUACGUGCUCUACUUUACCGUUUUUGAAGAUGAAAUGUUCCAUAAAAUUAAUGAGACCCUAAUGGAUUUUGUUUAAGUGGCAAACAUUCGUGAGAACUAAUGUGGGUGAAUUGAAACCGAGUUCUGGAAUGCUGCGCCAAGAGAAGCACUUACAAGCUCACACAUAUGCAUGUACAUAUGUGACCACGGGAGGUAUUGGACCGGCUCACUAAAUAUAAAACUAAAACUGCAUAGAAGCGCAUGAAGGAGAACCACAAUAAGUUAUACAAGUAGAGAAGAACGUGCAAAAAGUAAUAGCAAAUGCAAAAAUAGUUGUAAGAACAACAAAUGGUGUAAUAGUGGAUAUAAUACCAAUAAAUAAUGCAUAAAAGCAAAGGCAAGGUUGCAAACUGGUAUUGAAGUAAUGUGAAACCGUCGCGCUGUGGGAGGAGCUGGUGUGGUAUAACAGCAACAAGACCAAAUCGCUGUUGUUGUUAUUGUGCUUGUACUUGCACCUAGUUAUUUUUUUGCUGCUUGUAUAUUUGAGAUCAAGAUCAAGGUUUUUUCCCUCAGCCUCAUGCAAUACCUUGCGUCUUAUGUGCUUGGCUUGUACUGUUUGUGUGUGUUUUUUUUGCACUCGCUUAACGACAACCAGUUGUUCGCGUUAGUACAAUGCAAUGCAAAGCAACAUCGAAAAAAAAAACUUCUAAACAGUGCAAGUAGCUGCAGACAACGGCAAAAUUAUAGCUGUUCAGAAAUACUUACGUCGUUUGGCCCAGCUGGGAUGUGAGAAACAAUUCCGUUCGAAGGCAAGGAUAACUUGCCUACAUACAUACAAACGUGGAUACAUGCAUAAAUUCGAUAAGGGGCCCAAACGAUCGUUAGCAAAGCAAAUGCUGCAACUUUAAGCGACAAAUAUAAGCAAAGUGCGCAGAGAAAAAGACUGCACGAAAGAUGUUUCCUUCACGACAAGUUUACGAAAAAAUCAAAGCCAAAGUCAGAGUCAAUGGCAGAACGAAAAGUUGAGAGUCGUUUGGCGUCGUGAUCACGCAAUGCUUUGGCGAAGCUAUUUUCGUACAAAACAUACUACCUAUGCACAUACAUACAUACCUACAUAUGUAUAUGUGUAUGGGUAUGCGAAGCAUUCAAGCCAGCCUACCAAAGUUUUUGAAAACCACGUUAAAAUGUGUGUAUGCGCCAAGAAUAAAAAACGAACGCUGUUGGUUGGAAGCGAAAGGGGCAGCAGAUGAAACAUAAAUAAAGUAAUGAAAAGAAUCACGCGAAACAAAGUUUGCAACUAUUACGUCUGCUUGGCUGGGCACGUUUUGCCUGGCCGUUGACUAUGACCACAACGGCGCGGCACAA
Molecule: long non-coding RNA, 1401 nt
Organism: Bactrocera dorsalis (oriental fruit fly)
Lineage: Eukaryota; Metazoa; Arthropoda; Insecta; Diptera; Tephritidae
Exons: 3
Source: RefSeq, a predicted model, not a curated record